CAUCCUCUGCGGUAUUUGUAAGUGGCUUAAAUUCUCUUGAGCCUAAGUAUAUGCCCCGGGACUCCGGCUUAGCGUGCUUGUGUGCAUGUCCGCGAUAGGCGGAAAGCCUAAUUGGCGCUACCGGCUCCCACCUGAACCACUGGUUCAAGGGCACAAGUCACUACGAUACAGGCGGAGGGUGC
Molecule: non-coding RNA, 182 nt
Filed under: Chromatiales bacterium
Lineage: Bacteria; Pseudomonadati; Pseudomonadota; Gammaproteobacteria; Chromatiales
Also listed under: 1 other name
Description: 6S RNA
Rfam family: 6S / SsrS RNA
About the family: E. coli 6S RNA was the first non coding RNA to be sequenced, but its function was unknown until recently. It consists of 184 nucleotides that fold into an extended hairpin structure with a large single-stranded internal bulge. The 6S RNA specifically associates with RNA polymerase holoenzyme containing the sigma70 specificity factor.
Source: RNAcentral